This 292-nucleotide ribosomal RNA is filed under the name uncultured bacterium. RNAcentral describes it as "partial 16S ribosomal RNA". It matches the Rfam family "Bacterial small subunit ribosomal RNA", at positions 505 to 796 of the family's 1533-position model. The record is from RNAcentral.
GUGUCAGCAGCCGCGGUAAUACGAGGGGGGCAAAUGUUGUUCGGAAUCACUGGGCGUAAAGGGAGCGUAGGCGGGCUUCUAAGUUAGAUGUUUAAUCCCGGGGCCCAACCCCGGACAGGCACCUAAAACUGGAAGUCUUGAAUAGUGGAGAGGACGGCGGAAUUGGGGGUGUAGCGGUGGAAUGCGUAGAGAUCCCCAAGAACACCAGUUGCGAAGGCGGCCGUCUGGACACAUAUUGACGCUGAGGCUCGAAAGCAUGGGGAGCAAACAGGAUUAGAUACCCCGGUAGUCC